AAUAAAAGGGAGUCAACUUACUUGGAGUCCGACUCUCACUUUCUAACCCUGUGCACUUGUUUGGGAUAGUAACUCUCGCAAGAGAGCGAACUCCUAUUCACUUAUAAACACAAAGUCUAUGAAUGUAUUAAAUUUUAUAACAAAAUAAAACUUUCAACAACGGAUCUCUUGGCUCUCGCAUCGAUGAAGAACGCAGCGAAAUGCGAUAAGUAAUGUGAAUUGCAGAAUUCAGUGAAUCAUCGAAUCUUUGAACGCACCUUGCGCUCCAUGGUAUUCCGUGGAGCAUGCCUGUUUGAGUGUCAUGAAUACUUCAACCCUCCUCUUUCUUAAUGAUUGAAGAGGUGUUUGGUUUCUGAGCGCUGCUGGCCUUUACGGUCUAGCUCGUUCGUAAUGCAUUAGCAUCCGCAAUCGAACUUCGGAUUGACUUGGCGUAAUAGACUAUUCGCUGAGGAAUUCUAGUCUUCGGACUAGAGCCGGGUUGGGUUAAAGGAAGCUUCUAAUCAGAAUGUCUACAUUUUAAGAUUAGAUCUCAAAUCAGGUAGGACUACCCGCUGAACUUAAGCAUAUCAAUAAGCGGAGGAAAAGAAACUAACAAGGAUUCCCCUAGUAGCGGCGAGCGAAACGGGAAGAGCUCACAUUUAUAAUCUGGCACCUUCGGUGUCCGAGUUGUAAUCUCUAGAAAUGUUUUCCGCGUUGGACCGCACACAAGUCUGUUGGAAUACAGCGGCGUAGUGGUGAGACCACCCGCAUAUGGUGCGGACGACCCCGCGCUUUGUGAUACAUUUUUCUAAAAGACGAGUAUGUUUGUGAAUGACAGCAACAAAAUAAUGGGGGUUAGAAA
RNAcentral lists this ribosomal RNA (841 nucleotides) under Rhodotorula mucilaginosa. RNAcentral describes it as "eukaryotic LSU rRNA". The stretch from base 525 to 841 matches the Rfam family "Eukaryotic large subunit ribosomal RNA", at positions 1 to 305 of the family's 3401-position model. Lineage: Eukaryota; Fungi; Basidiomycota; Microbotryomycetes; Sporidiobolales; Sporidiobolaceae. The record is from RNAcentral.